GUGGGGAAUAUUGGACAAUGGGCGCAAGCCUGAUCCAGCCAUACCGCGUGGGUGAAGAAGGCCUUCGGGUUGUAAAGCCCUUUUGUUGGGAAAGAAAUCCUGUCGGUUAAUACCUGGCGGGGAUGACGGUACCCAAAGAAUAAGCACCGGCUAACUUCGUGCCAGCAGCCGCGGUAAUACGAAGGGUGCAAGCGUUACUCGGAAUUACUGGGCGUCAAGCGUGCGUAGGUGGUGGUUUAAGUCCGUUGUGAAAGCCCUGGGCUCAACCUGGGAAUUGCAGUGGAUACUGGAUCACUAGAGUGUGGUAGAGGGAUGCGGAAUUUCUGGUGUAGCAGUGAAAUGCGUAGAGAUCAGAAGGAACAUCCGUGGCGAAGGCGGCAUCCUGGGCCAACACUGACACUGAGGCACGAAAGCGUGGGGAGCAAACAGGAUUAGAAACCCGGGUAGGCC
RNAcentral lists this ribosomal RNA (450 nucleotides) under uncultured bacterium. RNAcentral describes it as "partial 16S ribosomal RNA". It matches the Rfam family "Bacterial small subunit ribosomal RNA", at positions 354 to 796 of the family's 1533-position model. The record is from RNAcentral.